Molecule: long non-coding RNA, 254 nt
Filed under: Elaeis guineensis (African oil palm)
Lineage: Eukaryota; Viridiplantae; Streptophyta; Magnoliopsida; Arecales; Arecaceae
Description: long non-coding RNA (EGUI_LNC081466)
Source: RNAcentral
GCCCUACAACGCCCUUAUGCGCCCCCACAGCCAUGUUAGGGAUAGGAGGAGAAUCUCGCCCUAAUAUGAGCAAAGUCAAAGGCCCGAUUCUUUUAGACCAGAUGGGGGGAGAGGUCCUACAACGCCCUAAUGUGCCCCCACAGCCAUGUUAGAAAUAGGAGGAAAAUCUCAUCCUAACCUGGGCUGAGAUCGACUACGUCAAGAACAGAAGGAGGACCGCAUCCUGACGAUGAUAAAAACUCGAUCGCCCAACA